GCUCGUAAAACGUUGGAAAGCAGAAAUAAAAGAAUCUGUAGUCAAACUAUGAGCUACUUCUAUGUGAACAGCUCUUGUUGUAAGACAUGUAAAAAGGCAACCGUAUCUUUUAACGACUGAACGUCCAACUUUAACAUUUAAUGGACCAAAGUAGUCUAUUCCAACAAAGGUAAAUGGUGGUUUAUCAGGAGUUUUCUGAUCGUCUAUAACAGAAGCCAUCUUCUGAAAACAAAGCGGUGCUUGAUAUCGUCUACAUCUUACACACCUGUUCAAAACUGUUCGGACAGUACUAGGUCCUUUUAAAAUCCAAUACUUUUCCCGUAAUGAUGCUAGCACUUGUGCCAUUCCUGUAUGACCAUUUUGUUCGUGAAACGACCUGAUUAUUAAAGUGUUCACGUGAUGAGAAUUUGGUAUAAUGACCGGACAUUUGCUUAGUGACAAGU
Molecule: long non-coding RNA, 443 nt
Filed under: Mytilus galloprovincialis (Mediterranean mussel)
Lineage: Eukaryota; Metazoa; Mollusca; Bivalvia; Mytilida; Mytilidae
Source: RNAcentral